RNAcentral lists this ribosomal RNA (446 nucleotides) under uncultured bacterium. Its description in RNAcentral is "partial 16S ribosomal RNA". It matches the Rfam family "Bacterial small subunit ribosomal RNA", at positions 30 to 523 of the family's 1533-position model. The record is from RNAcentral.
AUUGAACGCUGGCGGCAGGCCUAACACAUGCAAGUCGAACGCCCCGCAAGGGGAGUGGCCGACGGGUGAGUAACGCGUGGGAAUCUACCCAUCCCUACGGAACAACUCCGGGAAACUGGAGCUAAUACCGUAUACGCCCUACGGGGGAAAGAUUUAUCGGGGAUGGAUGAGCCCGCGUUGGAUUAGCUAGUUGGUGGGGUAAGGCCUACCAAGGCGACGAUCCAUAGCUGGUCUGAGAGGAUGAUCAGCCACAAUGGGACUGAGACACGGCCCAAACUCCUACGGGAGGCAGCAGUGUGGAAUAUUGGACAGUGGGCGCAAUCCUGAUCCAGCCAUGCCGCUUGAGUGAUGAAGGUCUGAGGAUUGUAAAGCUCUUUCACCGAGGAAGAGAAUGACGGUAGUCGGAGAAGAAGCCCCGGCUAACUUCGUGCCAGCCGCCGCCGUAA